RNAcentral lists this ribosomal RNA (528 nucleotides) under uncultured bacterium. RNAcentral describes it as "bacterial LSU rRNA". It matches the Rfam family "Bacterial large subunit ribosomal RNA", at positions 305 to 830 of the family's 2925-position model. The record is from RNAcentral.
AGCCUGUGCGUGAUACCGAACGAACUAACAAGAACAUUCUGGAAAGAUUGGCAUAGCGGGUGAUAGCCCCGUAUGUGAAAGUUCAUUCGGCUUACUAAGCGCACGACAAGUAGGGCGGGGCACGUGAAAACCCCUGUCUGAAUAUGGGGGGACCAUCCUCCAAGGCUAAAUACUCAUCAUCGACCGAUAGUGAACCAGUACCGUGAGGGAAAGGACGAAAAGAACCCCGGGAGGGGAGUGAAAUAGAACCUGAAACCGGAUGCAUACAAACAGUGGGAGCUCCCUCGUGGAGUGACUGCGUACCUUUUGUAUAAUGGGUCAGCGACUUACGUUCAGUAGCAAGCUUAACCGAAUAGGGGAGGCGUAGCGAAAGCGAGUCCGAAUAGGGCAUCCAGUUGCUGGGCGUAGACCCGAAACCAAGUGAUCUAUCCAUGGCCAGGAUGAAGGUGCCGUAACAGGUACUGGAGGUCCGAACCCACUAAUGUUGCAAAAAUUAGGGGAUGAGCUGUGGAUAGGGGGUGAAAGGCU